UACAAAAUUUGGUACAUGGUCAAAUGCCUUUGCGAUUCUAGCUGGCAAAAUAUUAAUGGACUCGGAUAUUUCUGAGACUUUAUGU
Molecule: transfer RNA, 85 nt
Filed under: Shewanella putrefaciens
Lineage: Bacteria; Pseudomonadati; Pseudomonadota; Gammaproteobacteria; Alteromonadales; Shewanellaceae
Also listed under: 1 other name
Description: tRNA-Pyl(cta)
Source: RNAcentral